UACGAAGGGGGCUAGCGUUGCUCGGAAUUACUGGGCGUAAAGGGAGCGUAGGCGGACAUUUAAGUCAGCGGUGAAAUCCCGGAGCUUAACUUCGGAACUGCCUUUGAUACUGGAUGUCUUGAGUGUGAGAGAGGUAUGUGGAACUCCGAGUGUAGAGGUGAAAUUCGUAGAUAUUCGGAAGAACACCAGUGGCGAAGGCGACAUACUGGCUCAUUACUGACGCUGAGGCUCGAAAGCGUGGGGAGCAAACAGG
RNAcentral lists this ribosomal RNA (253 nucleotides) under uncultured bacterium. Its description in RNAcentral is "partial 16S ribosomal RNA". It matches the Rfam family "Bacterial small subunit ribosomal RNA", at positions 524 to 776 of the family's 1533-position model. The record is from RNAcentral.